CGCGGCGUGCGCAAGUGGACCAAGGGGCCGGUUUCAUAUUCCGGUAUUUCGCAGGUUCGAAUCCUGCCGUCGCGU
This 75-nucleotide transfer RNA is filed under the name Cryobacterium luteum. RNAcentral describes it as "tRNA-Met". It matches the Rfam family "tRNA". From Rfam's summary of the family: Transfer RNA (tRNA) molecules are approximately 80 nucleotides in length. Their secondary structure includes four short double-helical elements and three loops (D, anti-codon, and T loops). Lineage: Bacteria; Bacillati; Actinomycetota; Actinomycetes; Micrococcales; Microbacteriaceae. The record is from RNAcentral.